AAUCAACGCUGGCGGCGUGCCUCAGACAUGCAAGUCGAACGCGAAAGUCCCCUUCGGGGGGACAAGUAGAGUGGCGCACGGGUGAGUAACACGUAGGUAAUCUACCUUCGGAUGGGGAAUAACAACCGGAAACGGUUGCUAAUACCGCAUAAUGCAGCGGCACCUAAUGGUGACAGUUGUUAAAGCGGGGGAUCGUAAGACCUCGCGUCUGAAGAGGAGCCUGCGGCGGAUUAGCUAGNGGUAGGGUAACGGCCUACCAAGGCGACGAUCCGUAGCCGGCCUGAGAGGGGC
This 291-nucleotide ribosomal RNA is filed under the name uncultured bacterium. Its description in RNAcentral is "partial 16S ribosomal RNA". It matches the Rfam family "Bacterial small subunit ribosomal RNA", at positions 32 to 301 of the family's 1533-position model. The record is from RNAcentral.